UAGAAUCCCACAAGAUCUGUAUGAGACCAGGACGACUAAUUGUCUCAAUUUGCAAACGAGGAACAACAAGGGAUAGGUAAUGGAGCUGUGACUCGGAGUACAGAAUCUAUGCUCUUAACCACCAUGACCUGGGGCUGUGGAGAGGACACACCCGUCGCCUCGGAUUCCCAGGAGCCUGCUUGAGUGGCGGCUGUCAGGUCGAAUGAGUAACUUGUUUCUGUUGGCUCCGCCCCAGGCUUGGCGGAAUCGCACAGGUGAGCUCCUGCGUGCGUGGACCCCUCAAAGCGCCUAUAUGCUCCUGCGCCCCUGGCCAUACCCAAGUGACACAUGGAUCCCGUCCCGCCGCCAAGCCCGUGAGGCCGUGUCCUUCCGCAGGCCUAGCUGCGCGCUUCCUUCCCCUCCUCCUUGCGCGGAGGUGGUGGUGGUGGUGAUACAGAUAUAAAAGGCUGCCCCAUGUCGGGGAAGCUUUCAGCCAAAGCUUAGGAAAGAGUAAACAAACCGUGAGGAAGGUCCUGAUAUUUAUUGAGCAGCUGCUGUAAAUCAGGCAAGGGGCUUGCACUGUUGCAAGAUAGGUUUUAUCCCAUUCUACAGAGGAAGAAGCUGAGACUCGGGGAGGUCACGCCUGAGCUAGUGAUGGGAUUCAAACUCGAGUGGCAUUCUGCCAGAUGUGGAAGCCCCUUCCCUCCACCUUGCUGCCUCUAGGGUGGGGGAAUCCUGGAAGACUUCUCAGAAGAGGUGGUGUGUGGACUGAUCCUUGAGGACCCUUUGAAGAUAAUAUUUUUAGGUAAGGUGUGGCCAACUGCAAUCAGGAUGGGCCUUAAUCCUAUUCCUGGGGGCUUAAUGAAGACAAAGCCACAGGAGGAGCCCAAGCUGGAAGUCAAGAGAACCUGAAAGAGAAAGGAGAGGACAGUUACCCUGUGAGCAGAAGUCAAGGACCCAAGGAGAGUGAGCAGCCAGCCCCAGAACUCCACAGUCUUUGGGGAGAAGCUGUUGUCUUGCUGAGGCCUUGAUUUUGUUCCUAGCCUGAAAACUAUGAACCAAUAA
Choloepus didactylus (southern two-toed sloth) is the source of this 1044-nucleotide long non-coding RNA. RefSeq lists it as uncharacterized. The transcript has 3 exons. The record is from RefSeq and is a predicted model, not a curated record. NCBI's taxonomy places the organism in Eukaryota, Metazoa, Chordata, Mammalia, Pilosa, Megalonychidae.